RNAcentral lists this ribosomal RNA (813 nucleotides) under uncultured bacterium. Its description in RNAcentral is "bacterial SSU rRNA". It matches the Rfam family "Bacterial small subunit ribosomal RNA", at positions 56 to 916 of the family's 1533-position model. The record is from RNAcentral.
UGGACGUCAAGCGCGCCCUUCGGGGUGAGCGGCGGACGGGUUAGUAACGCGUGGGAACGUGCCCUUUGGUACGGAAUAGCCUCUGGAAACGGAGAGUAAUACCGUAUGAGCCCUUCGGGGGAAAGAUUUAUCGCCAAAGGAUCGGCCCGCGUUAGAUUAGGUAGUUGGUGGGGUAAUGGCCUACCAAGCCUACGAUCUAUAGCUGGUUUUAGAGGAUGAUCAGCAACACUGGGACUGAGACACGGCCCAGACUCCUACGGGAGGCAGCAGUGGGGAAUCUUGGACAAUGGGGGCAACCCUGAUCCAGCCAUGCCGCGUGAGUGAUGAAGGCCUUAGGGUCGUAAAGCUCUUUCGCCUGUGAAGAUAAUGACGGUAGCAGGUAAAGAAACCCCGGCUAACUCCGUGCCAGCAGCCGCGGUAAUACGGAGGGGGUUAGCGUUGUUCGGAAUUACUGGGCGUAAAGCGCACGUAGGCGGACCAAAAAGUUGGGGGUGAAAUCCCGGGGCUCAACCCCGGAACUGCCUCCAAAACUGUUGGUCUAGAGUUCGAGAGAGGUGAGUGGAAUUCCGAGUGUAGAGGUGAAAUUCGUAGAUAUUCGGAGGAACACCAGUGGCGAAGGCGGCUCACUGGCUCGAUACUGACGCUGAGGUGCGAAAGUGUGGGGAGCAAACAGGAUUAGAUACCCUGGUAGUCCACACCGUAAACGAUGAAUGCCAGUCGUCGGGUAGCAUGCUACUCGGUGACACACCUAACGGAUUAAGCAUUCCGCCUGGGGAGUACGGUCGCAAGAUUAAAACUCAAAUGAAUUGACGG